CAAAAGGGGGGGAAAUAACGGGGAGCUUGUUUCGUUGAUGUGAGCGGCGGACGGCUGAAUAACACCUUUUGAAUCUGCCUGUAAAACUGGGAUUGUCCGGGAAACCGGGGCUAAUACCGGAUGGUUGUUUGAACCCCAUGGUUCAAACAUAGUAGGUGGCUUCGGUUACGACUUACGGAUGGAUCCGCGGCGCAUUAGCUAGUUGGGGAGGAACGGCUCACCAAGGCAACGAUGCGUAGCCGACCUGAGAGGGUGAUCGGGACACUGGGACUGAGACACGGCCCAGACUCCUACAGGAGGCAGCAAUAGGUUAUCUUCCGCAAGGGAAGACAGUCGGAUGGAGCAACGCCGUGGGAGUGAAGAAUGUUUUCGGAUCGUAAAGCUCUGUUGUUGGGGAAGAACAAGUAACGUUCCAAUAGGGUGGGACCUUGGCGGUACCUAACCGGAAUGCCACGGCUAACUACGUGCCAGCGGCCGCGGUAAUACGUGGGUGGAAAGCGUUGUCCGGAAUUAUUGGGCUUAAAAGGGCUGGUGGGGAUUUUGUUUUGUCUGAUGUGAAGCCCACGGCUCAACCGGGGAGGGUCAUUGGAACUGGGGAACUUGAGUGCGGGAGAGGAGAGGGGAAUUUCCACGUGUAGCGGUGAAAUGCGAAGAGAUGUUGGAGGGACCACCAGUGGCGAAGGGCCCACUUCUCUGGUCUGCACCUGACCCUUGAAGAGCGAAACCGUGGGGGGGCUAACUGAAUUAUGAUCCCCCUGGUACUCCACGCCUUUAACAAUGGGUGCUUAGUGGUCAGGGGGUUUCCCCCCCUUAGGUGCUGCGCUGACCCCAUAAACUCUCCGCCUGGGGAGGUCGGGUUCCAAGACAUGAAAACUCAAUAGAAUUUGACGGGGGGCCCGUCUCAGCGCUGGGAGCUAUG
RNAcentral lists this ribosomal RNA (919 nucleotides) under Bacillus paralicheniformis. Its description in RNAcentral is "bacterial SSU rRNA". It matches the Rfam family "Bacterial small subunit ribosomal RNA", at positions 67 to 943 of the family's 1533-position model. The record is from RNAcentral. Lineage: Bacteria; Bacillati; Bacillota; Bacilli; Caryophanales; Bacillaceae.